This is a long non-coding RNA of Pantherophis guttatus, 5057 nucleotides long. RefSeq lists it as uncharacterized. The record is from RefSeq and is a predicted model, not a curated record. Lineage: Eukaryota; Metazoa; Chordata; Lepidosauria; Squamata; Colubridae.
GCCUUGACCAUCUAUGAUUCUUUGAUCUGUUUGAUGGAGUAGGGCCAAAAACUGGCUUCUGGUUCGGGCAGCAAUGGGAGAAGUCCACUGAGGCGACAGAGGAGGGAAUUUAAGAGAAGUCCUUUCCAUCUUAGGUGUCUCCCUCUAGCUAUUUCACUUUGUCCCUUCUGGUGUCCCUUGCAAUGCAUCACUGCUUCUGUCUUUGGCAUCUUGACAGCAGCUAUGAGUCUCUCAAUUAGAAAGUUUAAUUUCUUUUCCUGGUGCUGUUAAGAGCCACCUCUCCUUAUCUCCACUGGAACCAUGUGCUUUGCUUCCACGGAUCUGAGUCAUCCAUGCAGGGCUAAAAGACAUGAGAACGAGGUUCCCUCCCCCCUUUGUGGGUGAGAAAAAGCAUUGCAGAAUUAGAAAAGGGCGGGGGUAGAUAGCUUGUGGUCAAAGUUUGAAAGUACAGCAACACAUCAGUAUUGUAGUUAAGUGAACUUAAAACGUAUCCUCAUAAACUUGAGUUUAUCUUGAAGCACAGAGAAGAAAGAAAAGUUGAAUUCUGUUCUUCACCCUGUCUAGAUGACCAGACCAAACUGGGUGAAUGAACAAGCUAUCAGAAAACAACAGAUGGGGAGAUACCACCAGCUUUAAGACCAUUUCAAUGUCUUCAUGUGGAUUUUACAGAAUUACCAAAAGUGGGGAGAGUAAAAUAUUUAUUAGUCAUAGUGGACCACCUCACAGGGUGGGUUGAAGCUUUUCUCUGCAAUAAUGCUACAGCAACAGUGGUGUCAAGAGUUUUACCCAACCUACACAGAUUAUCAUCAUAUGAACUGUUGUUUGGAGUAGUUUUUACUACAGGAAGCAUGUGCAUUAAUUCCCUGGAAACCAGAGACAAAGUAUUGAAACAAUAUGUGUAUAAACUGUCCAGAUAUUUUGAAGUUUUUAGGAAACAAGGACUAUUAGCCCAAACACCACCUUUGAAGUUUCCAGUCCACAAAUUCCACCACGAUGAUUGGAUGUUGAUCCGGAGCUGGACGGAAGUUAAACCCUAGUGAAAGGGCCCGUGCCAGCCCCAAAGGAGUGGAAGGUGGAAUCUCACCAAGGAGAUCCAUUGAAGUUGCCGAUCCAAAAGAUCCAAGGGACUGGUAGGCAGCAACCAGUGGGAAUAGCAUUCUUCAUCAUCUGGACUAUUUUUGUAUUUUUUCUUUCUUAGGAUUGAGUGGUUGCCUAUGCUGUUUCCCAACUGAAGAGGACUACAACUGAUCAGAUUCCUUUGUGCACUCUCCCAGAUGUAUUGGUUUUGUAAUUGUGCUUUAAGAUCUUAGAAGGAAGAUCCUGGAUCCAGUGGACGAGACUGAAGCCUGCGAACCAGACUGAUCCCGUGACGUACCAGGUGACACAGACAGAAAAACCCCUCAUGCUGAAAUUUAAGAAGAAUACACCCUGCUGAGUCCUACCGGCAACGGACUCUCAAUGCACGGUGGUGAUCGUCAGCCUUGCUGAACCACCCCGGAAGCUGGUUCCCAGCGCACGGCCGAAGCUUGGAAUGGAGGAAGACAACAUUCCAUGACUGUAGUUUGUAAUGUAAAAUCCAUUAACUGUAAUAGAAUCCAGUGUGCACUACUUAAAGACACUCAUGCUAGAGGGAAAUUGGGUGUGGGGACUCUGGGCAACAGCUACUUUAGCCCUUUUGUUGGUAUUGUUUUAAUACAAUUGAUGUUGCCCUAUCCCAAGUUAGGCAUAUCCCUAACCCUCUUCUUGACGUGGUGAAUUUGUAAACUAUGGGUCUUGCGCUCUUAAGGCCUUGUGGGUGUUCAAGAAAUUCCCCUUGUCCCUAUAGAAGGAAUUAAAGAUGUCAAGAAUCCCAGGGGAACUAACAGCAUCAGGACACUGAAUGGGGACACUUUGGGUCAAGUCCACUCCCGCCAACAACAUGGUAUCAGACGGUGGAGGGAAGCCUUAGACCUAAACCAACUCCUAGACCUGGGAUCAAGAGUUUAACAAUCCCGGUAGAGGGGGGAAUAGAAAAGGAGAACGGACCCCUACAACAAUUGAAAAGAGGAAAUUGCAUAUCAGGGAUACUAGAAUUGGGUCGAAACCUUGUUAAAUCAUAGGGUCACCUUCCCUGUGUGUAAAGAAACAUCAGAAACCUGGUAGGCCUAUAGGAUCCCUGACAAAAGAACUAUGUCCAUCAGAAGUGUACCUUGGUCCUAGAAUGAACCUUAGGGAUGUAAAAUUAACCAAAGAUCUUUUUCCUUCUGCACACCACUCACUUUCUCAUCACCACCAACUGCCAUCAUCACAAGAUGGGGAGGAUGGAAGAGGUCCUGGAAGGUAUCCAAGGAAAGGUGCACUAGUCUGUUCCAGCCCCCUCGCUUCACAAUCUGGCUCUCCAUUAGGUCCAACACAGGUUUAUGUGUCUUCUUUCCCCCUGUUUGAAGGACCAAUUCUCAGAGAUAAACAAAAGGACCCUUCACUAGAAGUCUCAUUGCAACCACUGGCAGGAAUGUUUGUGGCAGGGACUUUGGGGGUCUGGACUAAUGAAAACUACCGUAAGAUCCAUGCUUUCUCCAUGAACAUAGGAGGUAUGUGUGUAUUUCUGGGAAAAGACUGUUGUUUCUAUAUGAAUAAGUCAGGUGUGGUCAGAGAAGGUGCUAAAGAAUUACAAGAAAGGGCUUCCAAGAUAAGCCACAGGUUACAGACAUCAGAUAUGUGGUUUUCUUGGGUGCCAGGUUCUGGAUGGAUUAAACAAAUGAUAUUCUUGUUCAUAUGUGCGAUAGCUGGUCUAGCAUUCAUCCCAUGUGUAAUCCCAAUACUCAGACAACUAUCAAUAAAAGCAGUAAAGGAGAUUCAAGUUGAGAAGGAACUAGCUUUGACAGAACAUUUUCUUAAUCAACUUGGUCCCUAUACUGUGGAAGAACCUACAGAUUCUGAGCCAGAACCAUAUGUGGAAAUGGGACCAGUGGAAAGAUGGAGAGAAUCUAAGAAUCAAGAGAAUAGACACAAUCAUGUAUAACUUGUUAUUUGCCUUUAUUACUUAUAUUUUGUUAGAACUUAUAUAUUGUAGAUUUGUUUAUUGGAACCUUGUAUACUCACUUGUUACACUUAUAAUAGAAUAGUGGAAGUUUAUGCAUAGAAAAACUUCCAGAGGGGGGAAUAAUGUAGGUAAGCGGAUCCAGCUGGAUGAUCACUGAAGGGCCCUCUUUAUUCAUAGUAUUGUAGGAAAGGAAAUGUGCUUGUUUAAGGGAAGCCAAUUAUCCAGUUGAAAGGCAGAGAAUUCCUUUGAAGUAGAAACAUUCAGAAGGGCCUCUCAGUUGUCAGAAAUAGAGAUAUUUGGUGAUAUACAGUUUGAAGGUUAAAAUAGAUCAAAGGAUAACCACAUGUAAUAUCAACAAGAGAUAAUUUGAAUCUAUGCUUCAGUGAUUUACAAGAUGAAUUAUGACUGUUUGGCAAGAAUAAUAUGAAAUUUAGUAAUCAGGAAAUGUCAAUUAAAUAUAACAAAUGUAUAUGACCACAUAAACUGCUGUGUUAGCAGAAUCCUUUGUCUUAGAAGGGUAUAAAACCAUUGUAACUAAUUUCUGUCUUUGUUCAACGCUUCACGUACAAACGAGCUUUGAACCUAUUGCGCAAUAUACUGUCUCUGACUAACCCGGAAAAGUUGUGUUGGUCUAAUUAAUCCACAACAUUUAAGCUGAUUUAAAGACUGCAAAAGAGAUCUGGUUGAAAUUAAGAAAUGUGCGUGUGAGUUUCUCUGCAUGCAAUAUUGUACAAUUAUCAAGAAAAUUAUACAGAGCCAGUUUACAACCAGGGGAAUCUGUAGAACAACAUUUUGUACGAAUGCAAACUUUGUUUGUAGAAUUGGAACAGCGUGGCAUUCAGGUUCCCAAGGUGUUGCUAGUGUUAAACAGUCUUGAUGAAAUGUGGGACAUUGUUUCUGCAGUAUUUGAGUACAAACCAGAGCAGGAGUUGUAUUUGGAGGCUUUAAAGGCUUGUUUGAUUGUUGAGGAACAGAAAUGCCAUUAUCAAAAAAGCCAAGAGGAGGAAUUCCUGAAGUGGGGGCCCAAGGAGCAGAGUGAUAAUCCCUGAAAAGUCUUUGAAUGCUUUUAUUAUCUAUAUAAAUCUCAUUUCCUCUUGCAUUUUAAUUAUUCUUUUCUUUUCUUAAUUUCUUUUCUUAAUUUAUAUGCCAGCCAUCUCCCUGGUUUUGUAUAUUUUAAUUUCUACAUCUGGAACCAUCAGCAUAAUAACUUGUCGCAAAAAUUUUAAUUCAUAGGUAUUUAUUGAUGAAAUGAGUAAUGCUUUCUGAGACAAUGAAUAUGAGGUGUUUUUUUUUUUGCUACCAGUAGCUGUGCUGGUACUUUUUUUUAGCACAAGUAUGAAUUGAACUGAUGACAUCACAUCUUGCUUAUAUGUAGAAAAAAACCCAGGAAGGUGGGGUAGAAAUAGCAUUGUGGUUAAAAACUCUCUUUUAAAAGUCUCUAAUUUUUAACUAUCCAAAUGUGGGUGACACCUGCCAUGAAGUACAUAUAUGGCUGUAUCCCAAACCAUCGAAGAUAUUGUUCAUGUUUUAUUCGACUGUCAACUAUAUACCUUCUUAAACUUAGAUAGUUAACAUCCCUACUUGAAAGGAUAGCCUAUUGGGAUCUGAAAUGCAAAUUGUCCUAUUUCCACUUCGGGUCUAAUGUAAACGUUGUGAGCAGAACCAUUAAGUUAACUGAUAAAUGAAACAGUUAACCUAAGAACACUGUAUCAAAGAGAUUGGUAUAUCCUGUAAGGGAGAUGUGUUCUCUGGACUAUUGACUCUUUGUAUUUAGCACAUAAUGUAUUUUAUUACUGUAUUUUCCUUUUAUCUAUUUUAUUCUGACUUCAUAUCCUCUAUUUUAUUUUUUAAAAUGUUUUUGCUAUGGAUGUAAGACUAAUCAAUAAAUAAAGUAUCCAUCUAUAUAAAGUGGAAUGGAAUGCCCGCAAGUAAUAUCCUUAUUUUUAAAAAUGCUUUUGGGAUAGUAUAGUAUUUUAAAGUCAACCUGUUUCUGGAUUCUUCUCUUAAAAUAAAGGCUCAUUCAUUGUUGAUGAAA